AAAUUGAAGAGUUUGAUCAUGGCUCAGAUUGAACGCUGGCGGCAGGCCUAACACAUGCAAGUCGAACGGUAACAGGAAGCAGCUUGCUGCUUYGCUGACGAGUGGCGGACGGGUGAGUAAUGUCUGGGAARCUGCCUGAUGGAGGGGGAUAACUACUGGAAACGGUGGCUAAUACCGCAUAACGUCGCAAGACCAAAGAGGGGGACCUUCGGGCCUCUUGCCAUCAGAUGUGCCCAGAUGGGAUUAGCUUGUUGGUGAGGUAACGGCUCACCAAGGCGACGAUCCCUAGCUGGUCUGAGAGGAUGACCAGCCACACUGGAACUGAGACACGGUCCAGACU
RNAcentral lists this ribosomal RNA (340 nucleotides) under Salmonella enterica. RNAcentral describes it as "bacterial SSU rRNA". The record is from RNAcentral. Lineage: Bacteria; Pseudomonadati; Pseudomonadota; Gammaproteobacteria; Enterobacterales; Enterobacteriaceae.